AAACCCAUAGCUCAGAGGAUUAGAGCAAUGGCCUCCAGAGCCAUGUGCGUAGGUUCGAAUCCUACUGGGGGUA
This 73-nucleotide transfer RNA is filed under the name Ignavibacteria bacterium. RNAcentral describes it as "tRNA-Trp". It matches the Rfam family "tRNA". Rfam says of the family: Transfer RNA (tRNA) molecules are approximately 80 nucleotides in length. Their secondary structure includes four short double-helical elements and three loops (D, anti-codon, and T loops). Further hydrogen bonds mediate the characteristic L-shaped molecular structure. tRNAs have two regions of fundamental functional importance: the anti-codon, which is responsible for specific mRNA codon recognition, and the 3' end, to which the tRNAs corresponding amino acid is attached (by aminoacyl-tRNA synthetases). tRNAs cope with the degeneracy of the genetic code in two manners: having more than one tRNA (with a specific anti-codon) for a particular amino acid; and 'wobble' base-pairing, i.e. permitting non-standard base-pairing at the 3rd anti-codon position. Lineage: Bacteria; Pseudomonadati; Ignavibacteriota; Ignavibacteria. The record is from RNAcentral.